CCUACGGGAGGCUGCAGUGGGGUAUAUUGCACAAUGGGGGGAACCCUGAUGCAGCGACGCCGCGUGGGUGAAGGAGUAUUUCGGUAUGUAAAGCCCUAUGAGUAGGGAAGAAGAAGGAUGGUACCUGACUGAGAAGCACCGGCUAAAUACGGACCAGCAGCCGCGGUAAUACGUAUGGUGUAAGCGUUAUCUGGAUUUACUGGGUGUAAAGGGAGCGCAGGCGGCGCGUUAAGCCUGGUGUGAAAGUCCGCGGCCCAACCGCGGGACUGCAUUGGGAACUGGCGCGCUGGAGUGCCGGAGGGGUAGGCGGAAUUCCGAGUGUAGCGGUGAAAUGCGUAGAUAUUAGGAGGAACACCAGUGGCGAAGGCGGCCUACUUGACUUUGACUGACGCUGAGGCUCGAAAGCGUGGGGAGCAAACAGGAUUAGAUACCCUUGUAGUC
This 441-nucleotide ribosomal RNA is filed under the name uncultured bacterium. RNAcentral describes it as "partial 16S ribosomal RNA". It matches the Rfam family "Bacterial small subunit ribosomal RNA", at positions 338 to 795 of the family's 1533-position model. The record is from RNAcentral.